Rostrohypoxylon terebratum is the source of this 74-nucleotide non-coding RNA. NCBI's taxonomy places the organism in Eukaryota, Fungi, Ascomycota, Sordariomycetes, Xylariales, Hypoxylaceae. The record is from the annotation of a GenBank genome assembly.
GCCCGCGUAGCUCAAUCGGUAGAGCGUGAGACUCUUUAAUCUCAAGGCUGCGGGUUCGACCCCCGCCGUGGGCU